AAAAGGUAAGCGGGUAGAGCUGAAAAGACUAAGCUUGAUAAUUGAUGCUUGUGGUUGGUUAUGAUGCCGGUAUACUUUGGAAAUGUUGCCCUUGUGGUGUAUUCUGUGUUACCGAUGUUGUUGAUGAUCAUUGGCUGUUUUUGUCUUGCUUAAACCAUGAUCAGUAAGUGAUUUGGUCUCUUGUGCUUGGGAAGGUAGCCAUUUGAAUUGCUUCGGCUUUAUGAGUGGUGUUAUAGCCCGUGGUAUGAGGGUAUCGAGUUCUUAUUGUGCUAUGCGUUGAUGAUGCUACAUGUUUGUCAUGUGCGUUUGCCGUGAUUAGGUGACUUAUGCAUUUAUGUAAAGUUGCUUUUUUGCGUGUGGAUGUUAUGUGGUGGGCCUCUGUUAAUUUGUUGGCAAAUAAUCACAUGGUUACGUAGUAAGCUUUCUACCUGUCCCGUCUUGAAACACGGACCAAGGAGCCUAACAUGUAAGCGAGUCGUAGGGUUCUUCGAAACCUGAAGGCGCAUUGAAAGAGAAGACUGACACUUACGCUUAGUCGUGGUAUGAUCCUCAUUAAAGGUCCUUGUGGCACUUGGUGGGGCGCAAUACCGGCUUGUGUGAUGCAUUUUAUGUAACGCAAAGCAUGAGCUUACAUGGUAGAACCCGAAAGAUGGUGAACUAUGCUUGCAUAGGCUGAAGCCAGGGGAAACUCUGGUGGAGGGCCGCAGCGAUUCUGACGUGCAAAUCGAUCGUCAAAUGUGAGUAUAGGGGCGAAAGACUAAUCGAACCAUCUAGUAGCUGGUUCCCACCGAAGUUUCCCUCAGGAUAGCUGGUACUCGGUGUACAUUGAAACAAAGUUUUAUCUGGUAAAGCGAAUGAUUAGAAGUAUUGGGAAAGAAUUGUUCUCAACUUAUUCUCAAACUUUAAAUGGGUAAGGAAGUAGUCUCGCUUAAGUGGAGAUUGCUAUUUUGAAUUGAUGAAUUUUGAGUGCCAAGUGGGCCAUUUUUGGUAAGCAGAACUGGCGAUGAGGAAUGAACCUAAAGCGGUGGUUAAGGUGCCAAAGUGUUCGCUCAUGACAUCCCACAAAAGGUGUUGGUUGAUAUAGACAGCAGGACGGUGGCCAUGGAAGUUGGAAUCCGCUAAGGAGUGUGUAACAACUCACCUGCCGAAUCAACCAGCCCUGAAAAUGGAUGGCGGUCGAGCGAAACACCUAGACCAUGCCGUUACAGCAAUUUGUGUAUGCAAGUUGUGACGUGUAGGUGGGCGAAGUGGUAAGCGUUGAAGCUAUGUCUGAAAAGGCUGGUGGAGCUGCCAUUUGUG
RNAcentral lists this ribosomal RNA (1299 nucleotides) under Maehrenthalia agilis. RNAcentral describes it as "eukaryotic LSU rRNA". It matches the Rfam family "Eukaryotic large subunit ribosomal RNA", at positions 410 to 1444 of the family's 3401-position model. The record is from RNAcentral. Lineage: Eukaryota; Metazoa; Platyhelminthes; Rhabdocoela; Byrsophlebidae.